RNAcentral lists this ribosomal RNA (793 nucleotides) under uncultured archaeon. RNAcentral describes it as "bacterial SSU rRNA". It matches the Rfam family "Archaeal small subunit ribosomal RNA", at positions 85 to 879 of the family's 1478-position model. The record is from RNAcentral.
ACUGCUCAGUAACACGUGGACAACCUGCCCUUAGGUUGGGUAUAAACCCGGGAAACUGGGUAUAAUACCCGAUAGGUCUCGAUUGCUGGAAUGCAUCGAGAUUUAAAGCUCCGGCGCCUAAGGAUGGGUCUGCGGCCUAUCAGGUAGUAGUGGGUGUAGCGUACCUACUAGCCUACGACGGGUACGGGUUGUGAGAGCAAGAGCCCGGAGAUGGAUUCUGAGACACGAAUCCAGGCCCUACGGGGUGCAGCAGGCGCGAAAACUUUACAAUGCUGGCAACAGCGAUAAGGGAACCUCGAGUGCCAGGUUACAAAUCUGGCAGUCGAGAUGCCUAAAAAGCAUUUCAUAGCAAGGGCCGGGCAAGACCGGUGCCAGCUGCCGCGGUAACACCGGCGGCUCGAGUGGUAACCGUUAUUAUUGGGUCUAAAGGGUCUGUAGCCGGCCGGAUAAGUCUCUUGAGAAAUCUGGCAGCUUAACUGUCAGGCUUUCAGGAGAUACUGUCUGGCUCGAGGCCGGGAGAGGUGAGAGGUACUUCAGGGGUAGGGGUGAAAUCUUGUAAUCCUUGAAGGACCACCAGUGGCGAAGGCGUCUCACCAGAACGGACCUGACGGCAAGGGACGAAAGCUAGGGGCACGAACCGGAUUAGAUACCCGGGUAGUCCUAGCCGUAAACGAUACUCGCUAGGUGUCGGCCACGGUGCGACCGUUGUCGGUGCCGUAGGGAAGCCGUGAAGCGAGCCACCUGGGAAGUACGGCCGCAAGGCUGAAACUUAAAGGAAUUGGCGGGGGAGCAC